Molecule: ribosomal RNA, 468 nt
Filed under: uncultured bacterium
Lineage: Bacteria
Description: partial 16S ribosomal RNA
Rfam family: Bacterial small subunit ribosomal RNA
Source: RNAcentral
GACGAACGCUGGCGGCGUGCUUAACACAUGCAAGUCGAACGGAAAGGCCCUGCUUUUGUGGGGUGCUCGAGUGGCGAACGGGUGAGUAACACGUGAGUAACCUGCCCUUGACUUUGGGAUAACUUCAGGAAACUGGGGCUAAUACCGGAUAGGAGCUCCUGCUGCAUGGUGGGGGGUGGAAAGUUUCGGCGGUUGGGGAUGGACGCGCGGCUUAUCAGCUUGUUGGUGGGGUAGUGGCUUACCAAGGCUUUGACGGGUAGCCGGCCUGAGAGGGUGACCGGCCACAUGGGGCCUGCGGUACGGCCCAGACUCCUACGGUAGGCAGCAGGGGGGAAUAUUGCACAAUGGGCGCAAGCCUGAUGCAGCGACGCCGCGUGCGGGAUGCCGGCCUUCGGGGUGUGAACCGCUUUCGCCUGUGACGAAGCGUGAGUGACGGCAAUGGGUAAAGAAGCACCGGCUAACUACGUG